RNAcentral lists this ribosomal RNA (505 nucleotides) under uncultured bacterium. RNAcentral's name for it is "bacterial SSU rRNA". It matches the Rfam family "Bacterial small subunit ribosomal RNA", at positions 107 to 607 of the family's 1533-position model. The record is from RNAcentral.
UGAGUAAUGUCUGGGAAACUGCCCGAUGGAGGGGGAUAACUACUGGAAACGGUAGCUAAUACCGCAUAACGUCGCAAGACCAAAGUGGGGGACCUUCGGGCCUCACACCAUCGGAUGUGCCCAGAUGGGAUUAGCUAGUAGGUGGGGUAAUGGCUCACCUAGGCGACGAUCCCUAGCUGGUCUGAGAGGAUGACCAGCCACACUGGAACUGAGACACGGUCCAGACUCCUACGGGAGGCAGCAGUGGGGAAUAUUGCACAAUGGGCGCAAGCCUGAUGCAGCCAUGCCGCGUGUAUGAAGAAGGCCUUCGGGUUGUAAAGUACUUUCAGCGGGGAGGAAGGCGGUGGAGUUAAUAACUUCACCGAUUGACGUUACCCGCAGAAGAAGCACCGGCUAACUCCGUGCCAGCAGCCGCGGUAAUACGGAGGGUGCAAGCGUUAAUCGGAAUUACUGGGCGUAAAAGCGCACGCAGGCGGUCUGUCAAGUCGGAUGUGAAAUCCCCGGG